AACGCACAUUGCGCCCCCUGGCAUUCCGGGGGGCAUGCCUGUCCGAGCGUCAUUUCUGCCCUCAAGCGCGGCUUGUGUGUUGGGCGUGGUCCCCCCGGGGACCUGCCCGAAAGGCAGCGGCGACGUCCGUCGGGUCCUCGAGCGUAUGGGGCUUUGUCACUCGCUCGGGAGGGACCUGCGGGGGUUGGUCACCACUGAAAUUGUUUCCAUGGUUGACCUCGGAUCAGGUAGGAGUUACCCGCUGAACUUAA
Molecule: unclassified non-coding RNA, 251 nt
Filed under: uncultured fungus
Lineage: Eukaryota; Fungi
Description: partial contains 5.8S ribosomal RNA, internal transcribed spacer 2, and large subunit ribosomal RNA
Source: RNAcentral